GUAGGUGAACCUGCGGAAGGAUCAUUAUCAAAACAGCGGACUUCGGUCCUUGCUGCACCCUUGUCUUUUGCGUACCGUAUGUUUCCUCGGCGGGCUUGCCUGCCGGUUGGACAUUAUCAAACCUUUUUGUAGUUGCAAUCAGCGUCAGAAAAUAAACAAUAAUUACAACUUUCAACAACGGAUCUCUUGGUUCUG
Molecule: unclassified non-coding RNA, 195 nt
Filed under: rhizosphere metagenome
Description: partial ribosomal RNA internal transcribed spacer region
Source: RNAcentral